GACGAACGCUGGCGGCGUGCUUAACACAUGCAGGUCGAACGGAAAGGCCCUGCUUUUGUGGGGUGCUCGAGUGGCGAACGGGUGAGUAACACGUGAGUAACCUGCCCUUGACUUUGGGAUAACUUCAGGAAACUGGGGCUAAUACCGGAUAGGAGCUCCUGCUGCAUGGUGGGGGUUGGAUAGUUUCGGCGGUUGGGGAUGGACUCGCGGCUUAUCAGCUUGUUGGUGGGGUAGUGGCUUACCAAGGCUUUGACGGGUAGCCGGCCUGAGAGGGUGAACGGCCACAUUGGGACUGAGAUACGGCCCAGACUCCUACGGGAGGCAGCAGUGGGGAAUAUUGCACAGUGGGCGGGAGCCUGAUGCAGCAACGCCGCGUGCGGGAUGACGGCCUGCGGGUUGUGAACCGCUGUCGCCUGUGACGAAGCGUGAGUGACGGUAAUGGGUGAAGAAGCACCGGCUAACUACGUG
This 468-nucleotide ribosomal RNA is filed under the name uncultured bacterium. RNAcentral describes it as "partial 16S ribosomal RNA". It matches the Rfam family "Bacterial small subunit ribosomal RNA", at positions 28 to 507 of the family's 1533-position model. The record is from RNAcentral.